CGUUGAUUCCAUCAGAACUAAAUGGUCUCUUGAGUAAAACAAAGACUUGUUUGCGUGUGUUUACAGCUGCCAUCGCCUGUAAGAAGAUGAGGUAGAAUAUAAAGACUGUAUGUAUCCUAACACUGUAGAAUAUAAACACUGUAUGUAUCCUAACACUGUAGAAUAUAAACACUGUAUGUAUCCUAACACUGUAGAAUAUAAACACUGUAUGUAUCCUAACACUGUAGAAGAUGAACACUGUAUGUAUCCUAACACUGUAGAAGAUAAGGUAGAAUAUAA
Long non-coding RNA from Ostrea edulis (European flat oyster), 279 nucleotides. RefSeq lists it as uncharacterized. The transcript has 3 exons. NCBI's taxonomy places the organism in Eukaryota, Metazoa, Mollusca, Bivalvia, Ostreida, Ostreidae. The record is from RefSeq and is a predicted model, not a curated record.